Mustela erminea (ermine) is the source of this 8255-nucleotide long non-coding RNA. RefSeq lists it as uncharacterized. Lineage: Eukaryota; Metazoa; Chordata; Mammalia; Carnivora; Mustelidae. The record is from RefSeq and is a predicted model, not a curated record. The transcript has 4 exons.
AAGGGAAGAAAAUCCUAUAAGAAUUCCAGGCCAGUGAGUGUUUUCCACCCAUUUCCCAGAUGGAGAAGCAGAAUCAGAGAGGCACCCAAGGAGUAACUGUGAAGAAAUAUAACCAGUUAUUUAGCAAAUAGAUCUAAAACUACACCCACAGUUCCAUAUUAUCCUGUUCACAAGAGUCACCAACGUUGGUUUUCUCUCUUCAUAAAUGUCUCUUCCUUGUAGCUCGAAGAAACAAUUCCUAAUAUCUUCAUAUGAUAUCUUCAUUCUUUGAUCUCAUACUCCCUGAGAAAAAUGACCAUAGUAGUAGUUUCAGAAAUAGUCAAAUCACAUUUACAUGCCCUUGUCAAGUUGACAAAUUUGGACAUAAGAAUCUAUGCCUGAGAAAGUCUCAAUUCUGGACAAAUGAUUCAUCAGGUAGGAUGGCAGGAUUUGAAGAUAAAAGGAAAGAGUUCUGGUCAUAAGUAAAAAAACAUCUUGUAGGACAUGGGAAGGGGAAGUCUGCUGGUCCACAUUACAACACCUUGGAAUGCCCCAGAAACUACCUUUGAAAUUAGAAUAAGUUCGGGGGAGAAGGGGAUUUCAGAAUUUGGAGCUAAUUUAGCAUCUGUCCAGUAAGAGAAACGUUAGAAAGAAUGAAUGCUUUCUUUGUAAUCCAAAGCCACUCCAACCACUAGCUUUGUGAACGGGGUCACCCAAAGAACCCUUUGAAGGGAGCAUGACAUAUAAACAUCCAUGGCAUGUCUGUCCCGGUUUCCAGGACUGUGCCAGGGCAUGUUGUCCCUGGCCCUGCAAGCCAGCACUUGGCGGCCCCUGCCUGACUCCAUGCCCUGGGGUCAGGGGAGAUUUUUUUUUUUUUUUUUUUUUUGGAAAUCAAACGCGGUAAAAUUCACCUGUUUAAUAACAUACAAUUCGGCAGUUUUUGAGUAUGUUUAGAGUUACGAGCCAACCAUCACGAUCGAAUCCCAGAACAUUUUUGUCACCCCAAAAAGAAACCUCAUGCCCACCAGCUGUUACUCUCAAUCUCCCCCUUUCAUCUGCCGCAUAGCCUCUGGAAACCAUGAAUCUACUUUCUGACUCUCUAGAUCUGCCCAUUUGGGACACUUCGUAUAAGUGGAAUCACACACAAAAGUGGCCUUUUGUGACUGUCUUCUUUCAUUCGGUGAUGCUUUCAGGACUAAUCUGUGUUGUAGGCUGAAUCCAUACUUCGUCCCUUUUUGUGACUGAAUAAUAUUCCACGAUGUGCCUAUCCCUACCCCAUUUCAUUUAUCUGUUCAUCAGCUGAUACACUCAGAAGGAUUUUAGUACUAAUCUGAGCUGAGCUUAAAACCUGCAGACAAUGAGUAACUUCUGUUUCCUGAGCAGGCUGCUAACAUGACAGAAUCAGUGAUUUCGGAAGAUGUCUGUGGUCGGGGGGUGGGGGUGUGGGGAUGAAAGCCAGAAGUGCAGUGAGGCACAGCUGGGCAUGGUGCAAUGUGGAGCUCGUUCUACUAAAGAGGAGAGAAAGGCCAAGGUCUCUCCAGCAAUCUCUAUGCAAGGAGCAACCCCGCACUCUCUCUCUCUCUCUCUCUCUCUCUCUCUCUCUCCAGCUCUGACCAUAAAAGCCAUAAAGCCAUAAAGCCACAGGCUGACAAGAGAAGUUCAUUCUGGUGGGGGAGCCCUCAGGGGUGGUUUCAAGCUUGUCUCAUAUGCCUCCUGGAAGCUCUGUUGAAAAUCAGUUCACCGCACUCCUUCCUGGAAUGUGCAUGACUGAUAAGUGUCUUGUGCACAAUUAUCUGCCAAACCCUGUUGUUAAUGAAAUGAAUGAUUUAGUUAUCCUUGGUGAUGGCCCGCACUGUACAAGGACCUAUUACCGCAUCUGUGAGGCUGGCAGGAACGCCCUGCCAAGGCACCUGUAUGCGAUGUUACAAAUGAGCUCUCUCUGCUCAAACUCAACUGCGGAGGGGAGGCUGCCCAAGGCCAUGGGUGCAGCCACAGCCUGUACCCCUCCCCAACAUGCAUCAGAGCUGGAAAUAUCUAGGGGCAAUGUGAGAAACCAGGCCAGAGUGCAGCAAUGUUUGCCAAUGUUGACCUGCAAAGCCCAAGGGGCUGCAUCUUGUCAGCACAUGGGAAAGGGACAGGCUGAAGGUCUGUGCUGACAUGUCAGGCUCCCUGAGGUCCAGGGAGAUGCUCAGCUGGCUGGUGGACAUCGGCAUUUCCGCCCACGUUGGGGCCUCCUAAAUGUGCCUCCUCCCGUGAUGCCCACCGCGCACCUCCCUUUCCUCUCCCCUCUCAGUCCGUGGUGUGGGGCUUCCGCUCCUUUCCCCACCCUCGUUCCCAGUACUGCACUCUCCAGACUUCCUCCCUUGCAAGGGAAGCAAGGGAGAGUAGCCGAAGGAAAGUCGAAAGAAAUGGGUAUGGUUGGGGCAACCCCAUGGUUGCUCGCAAGGCAAAUACGGACAGAAAUAAAGUGACUUGGCUCACGCCACGUUUAAUACACCGUGUGGGCACAAGUGUGUGUGUGGACACACACACAUUCCCCCUCACCUUGUUUUUAGGCAUAUUCCAUUUAGGGGUGAGGUCUUUAGGUUUGGAACUAGUCUCUCUGAGUUAGGAUGGAGAAAUGUAGCUCAGCCAGGUGUGCAAGCCGUCACGGGGCCUUCGUGAAGCUGGCAGAACCAGACGAGCCGGGUGGUGGAGGCUGCGUGGGUGAUGGUGGAGGGGCACUGGCCUGAUUCUGGCCACCAAACCCACAGCAGUAGGUAACAGAUGCUCAAAAAUGGCUUGCAUGCCUCGUUAUUUAUUUUGACAGCCUCCUGCAUGCCCCUCUAGAAAUGUCGUGGCAACUUAACAAUGGUAUUAAUGAAACAAAAGAGUAAACUGCAUUAUUAUGAGAGGAGUGUGGCAUGUGAAGACUAUAAGAAAGUCAGAGCCAAGAUCAGCACCUGGGAAUCUCUCUUCUGUGGCUGAAAUUUGGCCCUUCGGGGUGGGGGGGGUUGAUAGUGAAGAGGUGUCACUUAGAGUCCUGGUAGGGAUGGUGGGUGGAGGCAGACAAUGGUCCUUUGAUGGUGUCUCUGCAGUGGAGAAAGAAAAGAUCCUGUGAAUGCUUCUGGGGGUGUCCCUCACAGAAGAUGGGGGUGGGAUGACGCCAGUGUUCCUAUCAGCGCGAGCAACAAAGUAUCAUGGUCCGAAUUAUCCAGCUGGAGCUGAGGGUGAAAUUCCCGUGAUCUAUGGUGGUCAUUUUCCAUGUUUUGUAAAAAGCAGUGGUGCUCUUCUAUUCCAAUAAAAUCUUGUGCCAGCUCCUCCCCUGGAGGAUGGGAGACAAGAAAGAGGAAGACAGGGAGGAGGGGAAGUUGGGAGAGGGGGAGAGAGAUUGACAGAAGAGAGGAAACAUACUUCUUUGGUUCAAAAUGAAGAGGACCUGGCUAUUUUUCCAGAGCCUCCCUUUCCCCACACGGAAGUGGCUGAAGUGUCCCUCGUUUGAAUCCCAAGAGUCUGGAAGCCCCUGGUCCGAUCUACACGAAUGGAUGGGCAUUAAGGAAGGUGGGGGCAGGGGAAGGAUGCUUUUAUUGCUACUUACAUAGGAUUACUGUGAGAAUGAAUAGGAAAAUUUGUAUUUGAGUCUGAUAAAUUGGGACUUCCUCUUUUUGAGGGCCACACGUUGAUCCUUCCCAUCCCAAUAAACCAAGUUGUGAUACAGCAGGACACUGAAGGGACCCUAUAUUGCACUUGUUAAGUGUGUGGGCUCUGGAGUCAAACUGUCUGGAUUAAAUCCUGACCCUGCUACAUAGGAGCUGUGUGAUACUGGGCAAGUUACUUACCCUCUCUGUGCCUUAGCUUUCUCAUUAGUAAGAGGCAGUGCCAAUAGCACCUGCUUCAUGGGGUCUUGAGGGUUAUACCUGCUGGUGUGUAUGGCAUUUAGAACAGUGGCUGGCAUAUGGUAAUGCCUUAGUAGUAGCCAUUGUUAUGAUACAGGUUUAUAAGUCUACCAUUCCCUGCAUAUGCUGGGUCCCACAUGCACAAUUUAUAGCCCUCUGUCAUCAGGCAGACAUCCUGUCUCACCUCACAGCCCCAGAGGUGGCUCAGCUUGCUCAGCACUCGGGGCAGCCAGGGCUCUCUGAGCAAAAUGGGUAAAGCCUGAGGAAGGAGCAAGACGGUAUUCUGCCCUUUAUUGUUUGGCUUGGUACAGAAGGAGUCCGUGUGGACAUUUAGUCACAAUCUUAUUUGACCAUUGCGAGAUGUGGAAAGACAAGCCUUGCCUGUCUUUAUGAUCUAUAAACCCAAGGGGUGUUAAAGAAGGAGGCCAGUGGAUGCCUCCUUCAUAACGGAUUUAUGCUGAGCUCCAAAAAGGCACUAGACUGUAGUGUGUUUUCCCUAAAAUUCUUAGUUCCAUUCUCUUGAUGUCACCUACUUCCCAGUAGUGGUGCCACGACAUCUCAGAUCUUAUAUUCUUAUAUAGGGGAUUUUCCAAGGGUUUUCCCUGACCACUGUAAGGAGGUCCAUGUGUAAGUGGUUGGCAUUAUGAAGGAAGACUCAAGGUGCGAGCUGUCAGCAGAGUGAUAACCAUGACUUUUAAGUCCCCUGUUUCCAUCUUCCUGACAUCACCUCUAGGGGUCCCAUCAGCCUGUUAAAAGUAGAAGGGAGUCAUUUCCUACAGGGAACUUACCAUUUACUCUGGACCACCGAACUCACAGGCUAACCUCCAUGGUACAGACAGUGCUUGCUAUGGGAAGGGGGAGGCUAGAGGGGGCCUCUGGGGCAGAGAAGGGACCUGCCCCAAGCAGGAGGAUGGAGGUGGAGGACCGAGCGCGGCCGCCUCAGAGAAGGAAAUGGGUGUGGGUGCACCAGCGAGAGCGAGGAAACCAGAUUGAUGGAGUCCCAGAAGUAGCACAGAGAGCUGACAAUGGGAGAGUCCGGCAGGGGCAAACCUGGAAGUCCUAGCUGGCUCCUGUUGAUUCUGUAGGAAGUGCCAUGUGAUGUAUGACUGAGAAGGACUUGUCUUCUGUCUGGAACCCAGUUAGGAAACAGUCCCAGAUGGAGAGAAGGGCAGGGGCCGCAAGAGGGUCUGUAGCAGGUCGCGUGAACAUACAGACAGAUAGCAGAGCGUGUGCGAUCAGUCAGGUCUCUAAACCAAAUCUUCCUGGUGGGCUUUUUGCGUUAUUUUCUCUGGUUCUUCAAGUCCCUUAAUCCUCUGGGCCCUGAGCAUGGAUACUCCAGGGCUUCCAUAGACAUGAUUUUUCACAAGUCUUUGCAAGGGCACCAUCUUACCAGUGGAGAAACUAAGGUCAGUGUUCUAAAAGCCUGGUUCUAGGAGCACCCCUGGGAUCACAGCACAGUGGGGCUUGAGGCAUGGGCUGCUGGCCCCUCAUUCAGGGAUCUGGCUUCUCAACGUGGUCCUUUCCCCUGUCUGAUCAAGAAAGGAAAGGGUGUAUCCAGUUGCUUCUUUUAGGCACAGGUUCAUAGAGGUGGGGUGGGAACCCCGAUUUCCCACUGCUCCUUCAGCCUACUGGUGAGCAGAGAGCAGGCUGAGAAGGGUGUGCACUUAACCCUUGUCCUUGGACCUACAUGGAACAGAGGGAGGAAGGAAAUGCGCCUGAGCCUAGAAAGCAUGGCCACCCCUGGAGGAGGCAUGAUGCUCCACGAACACCUUCUUCUCCAAGAGGACUGCUUGUUCUAAGAAUGAAGAGUACAAGGCACGGGUCCUUAGGAUAUGAAGGGGACCAGUGGGCUAACAGUUGGCCUCCAUGUGGGCACUGUCCCUCCUUGAGUUUCUACCCACCUUCUCUGAGCCAUACCUUCUGUCUUUCACCCUCUGAGCAUCUUCCUUCCACCUGGGCUGCCUCUUGUCCUUUUUAUCCCUGAGCCUGUGAUAGGGGCAGGGUGCCCGGCCAGCACGUGGACAUCAUCUUCAGCUCCAGAUUCUCAGUGAGUGUGUGAGUGUGAGUGUGUGUGUGAGGGCUGGGGCUGGGGUUCGUCCGCAGGUCAGAGCACAGGAGUACAGAGAGCUUCUGAGGGUAAGGCCAUCUGCACACCCUAUACCCCGAAGCCGUAAGAACCUGUCACUCGGACCCACCGCCAGCCAAAGCAGCUUCCAUCACUGACCAGAGGAGCGCAGAAGCCACAGCAGUAAGUUAAGCCUCAGAGGGACUGGAUGUGGCUGGGCCCAGUGAGGGGCAGGAGGAGCCCCGGCUCUCAGAAAGAGCAGGCGCCAUAGUUCCAGAGAAGAGGAAGCAGCAGAGCUUUCGUGCCCCUCCCCCUUGCUCCCUGCACAAUGCUCACAUACCUUACCCUUGGGCCCUGCAAUCUGGGGGGCCCUGCAGAGACAGCUGAUCCCAAGUGGAACAGCCAAGGAUGUGAGGAUUAGAGCAAAGUGAUGGCCAGUGGAGUCUCUUCAAAGGUGCAUGGUGGGUGGUCAGCCAAUGCCCAAAGGCAGGAACAGUGGGGAGGCCGGAAGUCAGUGGUCAUGGCGGGCAGGGGGAGGGGGUUAAGGAAACUUGUAGACUCUCAGCUAGCUGUGUGGUGAGGGAGGGAGAGAGUGACCAAAGCGGGUGGUUUGGACAAGAAACAAAUGCUAUUCUUACGGACCGGUGCUCACAAUGGCCGGUGCCCUGGAGAAGCUCUGAAUAAAUAACCUGGGCCUUUGAACACGGAGGUACAGGAUAGUGUCACUUGAUGGGAACAUUUGUUUGCUUUUUCACCCCCUCUGAUGCCAGACAUCUUGAGGAACAAGAGAAGGGGACAAGCAAGGCUUUGGGAACUGGCUGAAGGGCGGGGCUCGGGGCAGGUGGGCAUGGUGGCCAGCUCGGCUGUCUCCCUGCCCCUUGGCUUUGCUAGCCUUGAGGACAGAGUCCCGGUUCUAGUACACUUGCCACUCCCUGUCCCCCUUCUUUUUGUCUUCUCUCUUCUGAUGGUGGCAAGUCCUUGCUUCACAUCUGGAUGGGAGCCUCUGAAGUUGGCAAGACUCCUUACCAUCCACAACCCAAGCCUGAUGGCUCUCUCAGGGACCUAUUUUGUGAGGUAAGACCAGUGGAGUCCGGCAGAAUUCAAGGGCCUCCUUCUUUGGACAGUGCACAAGAGACCAUGGUCUUCCUCUACAGAAAGCUGAAAAGCCUUGGAGUGGACACAGAUUGCUGGUCAGCAUGUGCGCUGGGCAUGUGCUGGCUUCCAGGCCUGUGAGGACCCGCAGAGUCGCUGCUGGAGAAGGCACGACCACCCUCCAGGAGCUCCCGCUCUAGGUCUUUUUCAUAUUAUGUAAGAAGCCAGAGCAGAUCACCUUCCUGCAUAUCUACCAUGUUCUUCAGCCCAUGGGCUGGAGUCAGAUAUGUGCCACACGGUCAAGGGUCCGUUUGUGGCCACUGCUGCCCACUCCUACAAUCUCUUCACUGAGGCCCCCUUCCCUGAGGGGCUCGACAUGGCGGUCCUCCUGCACACCUUCGGUGUCAUUGGCUUUUUCCUCAACUGCUACCACCAGACAUACCUGAAGAGCAAGCAGGAGAAGCAGACUUAACGGGGCUGGACCCAAAGACUGAAACUAGCAGAGCCGUCCCCACAGAGAGUUGCCAGAAGACAGCGUGCGCCACAGCCCACCUGUGUUGAACAGAUACCUCUGGGCCUGCAUUUCAUUCUAUGAAGGAUGAAGGAGAAUUGUCCCCCCCUCCUUUUUUCCCCAGAGUUAGGGAGGACAGAAAUGGACCAAGUUUCCUGAACUCACUUCCGUUAUAGCACUUUUCACAUGGAGUUAUUCCACUUUUCACACAGCCCUCACUGCAGUGCCGGGGGAGGGAGGGUGGGGGCUGUCUUCUUCCCAAGGUUCCCCACACGGGACAUAGUGCUUCAGGAAAUGUGCAUUUGGGUCCUUGUAGUCCACCACCGGUGGUCAGGGCUGGUAACAUGCCAGAAGUCAAGGCUGGCUUGAUAGCUCACCUUGCCAUGGGAAAUGAUGACAAGAAUGUCCAAGGGUGAGUGUGGGUCUGUUUGGUUUCUAGAGUGGCUGUGUGAACAUUUGUCCCUGUGUCUCUUCUAGUCUGUUCACUACUACCUGCACUUGUAGUUAUAUAGUUGUAUGAUUCUGUGUGUGUGAGUCGGCUGAUGGAAUGGGCUCUGUGUUUAUGUCUAAAUAUUUGCUUUUAAAUAUACAUGCUUGAUCCCUUUGAGUUUUUCUCUGUGUUGUUUGCUUGUCUCUUCUAUAAGUCUCUGUAAGUGCCACAUGGUAAUAGAAGCCAAAUUCGGAUUAAUACUUAAUACUGGGGCACCUGGGUGUCACAGUGGGUUGAGCCUCU